RNAcentral lists this ribosomal RNA (253 nucleotides) under uncultured bacterium. Its description in RNAcentral is "partial 16S ribosomal RNA". It matches the Rfam family "Bacterial small subunit ribosomal RNA", at positions 524 to 776 of the family's 1533-position model. The record is from RNAcentral.
UACGAAGGGUGCAAGCGUUACUCGGAAUUACUGGGCGUAAAGCGUGCGUAGGCGGUUUGUCGCGUCUGCUGUGAAAACUCGGGGCUUAACCCCGGGCCUGCAGUGGGUACGGGCAGACUAGAGUGUGGUAGGGGAGACUGGAAUUCCUGGUGUAGCGGUGAAAUGCGCAGAUAUCAGGAGGAACACCCGUGGCUAAGGCGGCUCUCUAGUACGGUACUGACGCUGAGACGCGAAAGCGUGGGGAGCGAACAGG